UAACAUUGAAAUUCAAAAGCAAAUACAGAAAGUUGGGUUUUACUCGCCUCUGAUAUGAAAUGGAUCCUUGAAUUUGAGGGAUUGAAUUUACGGUAAUAAAAGAUCGAUCCUUGAAAUUGUGAGCCAAUGGGUGCUUGUAGAUAAUAAAUAAAGGGAGAAAAAUUGUGGGUAGGAUUUAAUUAACUCUGAUCUGGGAAAUUGAGCUUGAUGUCCUAGGAUUGGAUUUUUAAUAAGGAAAGAUUGGAUCUUGAAUUUCCCAGUUCAGGAAAAAAGAAAAGGUGAGGUUUUAACUAAAGAAUAUGAAACAGAAGAAUCUUAAAUCCAAGAGAAGCAAAGAGGGAUGAAGAGAUCAAAAUCUCAAAUAGAAUUUGUUAAUGCUCUGUGUUUCAAAUAGAAUUUGUAUAAGGCUUCAUUUCAUUUUCACACACUG
This 430-nucleotide long non-coding RNA is filed under the name Panax ginseng (ginseng). Its description in RNAcentral is "long non-coding RNA (PGIN_LNC002234)". Lineage: Eukaryota; Viridiplantae; Streptophyta; Magnoliopsida; Apiales; Araliaceae. The record is from RNAcentral.